UGGGGAAUCUUGGGCAAUGGGCGCAAGCCUGACCCAGCCAUGCCGCGUGUGUGAAGAAGGCCCUAGGGUUGUAAAGCACUUUCAGCAGUGAAGAAAAGCCGGGAGCUAAUACCUCCCCGGUGCUGACGUUAACUGCAGAAGAAGCACCGGCUAACUCCGUGCCAGCAGCCGCGGUAAUACGGAGGGUGCGAACGUUAAUCGGAAUUACUGGGCGUAAAGCGCGCGUAGGCGGUUCGGCAAGUGGGAUGUGAAAGCCCCGGGCUCAACCUGGGAACUGCAUUCCAAACUGCCGGACUAGAGUAUGGUAGAGGGAGGUAGAAUUUCCUGUGUAGCGGUGAAAUGCGUAGAUAUAGGAAGGAAUACCGGUGGCGAAGGCGGCCUCCUGGACCAAUACUGACGCUGAGGUGCGAAAGCGUGGGGAGCAAACAGGAUUAGAUACCCCCGUAGUCC
Molecule: ribosomal RNA, 450 nt
Filed under: uncultured prokaryote
Description: bacterial SSU rRNA
Rfam family: Bacterial small subunit ribosomal RNA
Source: RNAcentral